GAGUUUGAUCGUGGCUCAGAUUGAACGCUGGCGGCAGGCCUAACACAUGCAAGUCGAGCGGAUGAAGAGAGCUUGCUUUCUGAUUCAGCGGCGGACGGGUGAGUAAUGCCUAGGAAUCUGCCUGGUAGUGGGGGACAACGUUUCGAAAGGAACGCUAAUACCGCAUACGUCCUACGGGAGAAAGCAGGGGACCUUCGGGCCUUGCGCUAUCAGAUGAGCCUAGGUCGGAUUAGCUAGUAGGUGAGGUAAAGGCUCACCUAGGCGACGAUCCGUAACUGGUCUGAGAGGAUGAUCAGUCACACUGGAACUGAGACACGGUCCAGACUCCUACGGGAGGCAGCAGUGGGGAAUAUUGGACAAUGGGCGAAAGCCUGAUCCAGCCAUGCCGCGUGUGUUGAAGAAGGUCUUCGGAUUGUAAAGCACUUUAAGUUGGGAGGAAGGGCAGUAAGUUAAUACCUUGCUGUUUUGACGUUACCAACAGAAUAAGCACCGGCUAACUUCGUGCCAGCCGCC
RNAcentral lists this ribosomal RNA (513 nucleotides) under uncultured Gammaproteobacteria bacterium. RNAcentral describes it as "bacterial SSU rRNA". It matches the Rfam family "Bacterial small subunit ribosomal RNA", at positions 9 to 516 of the family's 1533-position model. The record is from RNAcentral. Lineage: Bacteria; Pseudomonadati; Pseudomonadota; Gammaproteobacteria.